This 459-nucleotide ribosomal RNA is filed under the name uncultured bacterium. RNAcentral describes it as "partial 16S ribosomal RNA". It matches the Rfam family "Bacterial small subunit ribosomal RNA", at positions 338 to 795 of the family's 1533-position model. The record is from RNAcentral.
CCUACGGGAGGCAGCAGUGAGGAAUAUUGGUCAAUGGCCGGAAGGCUGAACCAGCCAUGCCGCGUGAAGGUCAGUGCCCUAUGGGCGUUAAACUUCUUUUGUGCGGGAGCAAUAAUGGUCACGUGUGGCCAGACGAGAGUACCGUACGAAUAAGCAUCGGCUAACUCCGUGCCAGCAGCCGCGGUAAUACGGGGGAUGCAAGCGUUAUCCGGAUUUAUUGGGUUUAAAGGGUGCGUAGGUUGUUUUUUAAGUCAGCGGUGAAAGUUUGUGGCUCAACCAUAAAAUUGCCGUUGAAACUGGAAGACUUGAGUGUGUUUGAGGUAGGCGGAAUGCGUGGUGUAGCGGUGAAAUGCAUAGAUAUCACGCAGAACUCCGAUUGCGAAGGCAGCUUACUAAGCCAUAACUGACACUGAAGCACGAAAGCGUGGGGAUCAAACAGGAUUAGAUACCCCAGUAGUC